Patella vulgata (common limpet) is the source of this 809-nucleotide long non-coding RNA. RefSeq lists it as uncharacterized. The transcript has 3 exons. Lineage: Eukaryota; Metazoa; Mollusca; Gastropoda; Patellidae. The record is from RefSeq and is a predicted model, not a curated record.
UAGAAACUUGUGGAAGUGUUGAUCUGAUCUUCACCACAGAUACAGCUGGUGAUUAUUAUCAAGUUGGUUUAGGUGAUUGUGCCAAGACGUGUACAGCACUAACUAAAUUCAUGUCGUCCUCUACUCCAACCACCCUGACAGCCACUGAGAAUCCUCUACAAUGCUCCAGUUUUGCAGAUAUAUGGAUAAGUUGGGAGAGUGGUGCUAGAAAACUAGAAGUUGGAACAGGACACGUACUGAAUCAGAAUAUCUUGGUUGCUAUGGAGAACCUCGAUGAUCUGAACACUAUUGAAAAGAUGGAACCAAGGAGCACAGAUACGACACAGUGGAAAAUAGAUCUAUAUGGGUGUGAGUUUUUGAGCUGGCAAGAAUGGGGUAGUUGGUCAAUCUGUGACACGGCUGGUCAGGUCAAACAUAGAUAUCGUGUCUGUCAGUGUGAACAUCCUCCAUCAGAUCCAAACUUUGAUCCUCUCCUCUAUUGUAAUGGCGAUUACAGAGAAGAAAUUAAAAGUAACGCUGUCGUGUGCAGGAAAUGGAAGUAUAAGGGUAAACUUUAUUCCACAACCAUGGAUAAAUCAGUUACCACCGCAGUCUCACAGGCAGCCUGUAUGUUAAAUUGUAGAACAUCAUUCCCCAAUUGCUACUAUAUAUCUUACAAUAAGUUGGAGAAACUGUGUUGGAUGUAUAUCGGGGGAAUACCACAUUUUAAGUGGGUAUCGAAUCAGUUCAUUCCCAAUGAAAAUUUUAAAACACACGCUUUUUAUCGGUAGACGAUCGUUUAUUUAUAACACGGCACCAAAUGUACAGUU